GGGGAAUAUUGCACAAUGGGCGAAAGCCUGAUGCAGCAACGCCGCGUGAGUGAUGAAGGCCUUCGGGUUGUAAAGCCCUUUUGUUGGGACAGAAAAGCAGCCGGCCAAUACCCGGUUGUUCUGACGGUACCCAAAGAAUAAGCACCGGCUAACUUCGUGCCAGCAGCCGCGGUAAUACGAAGGGUGCAAGCGUUACUCGGAAUUACUGGGCGUAAAGCGUGCGUAGGUGGUGGUUUAAGUCCGUUGUGAAAGCCCUGGGCUCAACCUGGGAACUGCAGUGGAUACUGGAUCACUAGAGUGUGGCAGAGGGUAGUGGAAUUCCCGGUGUAGCAGUGAAAUGCGUAGAGAUCGGGAGGAACAGCAGUGGCGAAGGCGACUGCCUGGGCCAACACUGACACUGAGGCACGAAAGCGUGGGGAGCAAACA
This 426-nucleotide ribosomal RNA is filed under the name uncultured Lysobacteraceae bacterium. Its description in RNAcentral is "bacterial SSU rRNA". It matches the Rfam family "Bacterial small subunit ribosomal RNA", at positions 356 to 774 of the family's 1533-position model. The record is from RNAcentral. Lineage: Bacteria; Pseudomonadati; Pseudomonadota; Gammaproteobacteria; Lysobacterales; Lysobacteraceae.